RNAcentral lists this unclassified non-coding RNA (406 nucleotides) under soil metagenome. RNAcentral describes it as "partial contains 5.8S ribosomal RNA, internal transcribed spacer 2, and large subunit ribosomal RNA". The stretch from base 1 to 121 matches the Rfam family "5.8S ribosomal RNA", at positions 35 to 154 of the family's 154-position model. The record is from RNAcentral.
GAUGAAGAACGUAGCGAAAUGCGAUAAGUAAUGUGAAUUGCAGAAUUCAGUGAAUCAUCGAAUCUUUGAACGCACCUUGCGCCCUUUGGCCAUUCCGAAGGGCAUGCCUGUUUGAGUAUCAUGAACACCUCAACUCUUCACGGUUUUCCAUGAUGAGCUUGGACUUUGGGGGUCUUGCUGGCCUGUGGGUCGGCUCCUCUCAAAUGAAUCAGCUUGCCGGUUUUUGGUGGGCAUCACAGGUGUGAUAACUAUCUACGCUUGUGGUUUUCCACCAGGGUAACCUUCAGCAGUGGAGGUUCACUGGAGCUUACAAAUGUCUCUCCUCUGUGAGGACAGCCCUUUGAAUGUUUGAUCUCAAAUCAGGUAGGACUACCCGCUGAACUUAAGCAUAUCAAUAAGCGGAGGA